Molecule: ribosomal RNA, 433 nt
Filed under: uncultured bacterium
Lineage: Bacteria
Description: partial 16S ribosomal RNA
Rfam family: Bacterial small subunit ribosomal RNA
Source: RNAcentral
AACGAACGCUGGCGGCAUGCCUAACACAUGCAAGUCGAACGAGACCUUCGGGGCUAGUGGCGCACGGGUGCGUAACGCGUGGGAACCUGCCCUUAGGUUCGGAAUAACUCCCCGAAGGGGGUGCUAAUACCGGAUAAUGUCUUCGGACCAAAGAUUUAUCGCCUUUGGAUGGGCCCGCGUUGGAUUAGCUAGUUGGUAGGGUAAAAGCCUACCAAGGCGACGAUCCAUAGCUGGUCUGAGAGGAUGAUCAGCCACACUGGGACUGAGACACGGCCCAGACUCCUACGGGAGGCAGCAGUGGGGAAUAUUGGACAAUGGGCGAAAGGCUGAUCCAGCAAUGCCGGGUGAGUGAUGAAGGCCUUAGGGUUGUAAAGCUCUUUUACCCGGGAUGAUAAUGACAGUACCGUGAGAAUAAGCUCCGGCUAACUCCGUG